CCAAUAGCGUAUAUUAACGUUGUUGCAGUUAAAACGCUCGUAGUUGAAUUUCGGGAUUGACGUGAUGGUCAUGCCUUAAGGGGUAUGAACUGUUACUGUUGAUUUCUCACCUUCUGGAGAAACUUGAUGUCCUUUAUUGGGUGUCUUGCGGAUCCAGGACCUUUACCUUGAAAAAAUUAGAGUGUUUAAAGCAGGCAUUUUUGCUCGAAUACAUUAGCAUGGAAUAAUAGAAUAGGACGGCAUGGUUCUAUUUUGUUGGUUUCUAGGAUCACCGUAAUGAUUAAUAGGGAUAGUUGGGGGCAUUAGUAUUCAAUUGUCAGAGGUGAAAUUCUUGGAUUUAUUGAAGACUAACUACUGCGAAAGCAUUUGCCAAGGAUGUUUUCAUUAAUCAAGAACGAAAGUUAGGGGAUCGAAGACGAUCAGAUACCGUCGUAGUCUUAACCAUAAACUAUGCCGACUAGGAAUCAGACGAUGUUAAUUUUUUAAUGACUCGUUUGGCACCUUACG
RNAcentral lists this ribosomal RNA (507 nucleotides) under uncultured Glomeromycotina. RNAcentral's name for it is "partial small subunit ribosomal RNA". It matches the Rfam family "Eukaryotic small subunit ribosomal RNA", at positions 591 to 1092 of the family's 1831-position model. Lineage: Eukaryota; Fungi; Glomeromycota. The record is from RNAcentral.